AUGGUUCCAGCAAAAGUACUUGCCGCUUCCAGCAAAAAUAUGAAUCGUCGUCACUGGGCCGUAGCAAAAAAAAAAGAGAUGCUUCCAGCUAAAAAAAUUGCUGGUUCCAGCAAGGAUGGAUCACCGUCGUGGCCGUCGCAGCACUGUUGUCGCCGGUUCCAGCAUUUGUUUUGCUGGUUGCAACUCCACCGGCUUAUGGUUGUAGCUCCGCCGAACUACGGUUUCAGCUCCGCCGCGCCAGGUGUGGUCACCGCCGGAAGUUGUAGCUUCCAGCAUCUCCCGCCGAUGGUUCCAACAUCUGCGCACCGUGGAUCCAGCAUCUGCACUCCACGGUUGCAGCACCCCCAUCCCCCGCGUGGCCGCCGUGGAAGCUCGCGCGCGACUCGGUCGCCGCAACUGCCAGCUCGCGGCCCUUGUGAGAUGCAUCUGCGAAUGGCCCCCGGCGUCAACAGUAGAGAAGGAGGGGGAGGAAGGAAAAAUACUCGUUCGAAAGAGAGAAAGAGUAGUAGAGGGGAGUCGCCGGUGGUGGAGCUCGUCGGAGCUAGGAUGUGGCGGCGCAAGGGAGGAAGCAAGGCAGGACGACGAGCACUCUAG
RNAcentral lists this ribosomal RNA (594 nucleotides) under Triticum aestivum (bread wheat). Its description in RNAcentral is "partial small subunit ribosomal RNA". Lineage: Eukaryota; Viridiplantae; Streptophyta; Magnoliopsida; Poales; Poaceae. The record is from RNAcentral.